Molecule: long non-coding RNA, 910 nt
Organism: Chelonia mydas (Green sea turtle)
Lineage: Eukaryota; Metazoa; Chordata; Testudines; Cheloniidae
Exons: 2
Source: RefSeq, a predicted model, not a curated record
CUGCCCCUUAUCCAACACCCCGCCCCCUUACCCUUACCAGGCUGCUCAGAGUGGCAGGACAAGCUUAUUUGAACACCUGGGAGGUGGGUAGGCACAAGCCGCACUGCCUGCUGGGGAGGGGGAGUGGCCAGGGGCUAGCCUCCCCCUGCCAGGAGCUCAGGGGCCAGGCAGGACGGUCCCGCAGGCUGUAGUUUGCCCACCACUGAGUUAAAGGGAUGCAAGUGUCAAGCAAGUCCUUUUGAAUUAGGCCUUGCUCUUUUUGAGGCAUCAGUACACUUGAGGCCUGCCUGCACUAAGAUUUUGUUGCUCUCUGAAAUAGAGGCAACAAAGGUUUUGUCCUGCCUAUGUGAGCACUCUCACCAUUUUAAAUACUGGUUUAAAGGAACUAGUUAUUAACAGUGCAAGCAGGUCCCUGUUGUAGUCUAGUUAAUUUAAUAUUAAUUGUUCAAAUGUGGAAGUCAUCAUCUGCAGAGGAGCUGCUGGGAAAUGCUUGAAGGACACACAGGUGUGAAAUUACUGAUCCUUCACUGACUGAGUGGCAUGAUGUCCUAUGGCCUGCAUUGGCACAACUGGAUCACAGAAAACAAUUAGCAGGAAGAGGAAAAGAGUUUAGAAGCAGAAAUCCAAGUUUUGAAGCUGCUUCUGCCUAGUGUGAGCUGUCCGUGUAGCAGCCUGAUAUUUGUUGUUUUUAUUGUUUACUUCUUCUUCUGCCCCUCCGCCCAUUUAUCCUAAGUCUGAGCCUACAUCAGGUUUCCAGUAGAUUUUUGUCUAACUUCUUAACAAAAAAGUCCCCCUCUUCUAAGUCUAUCUACUAUUAGGAAUUGAUGCCUCCUGUUGUUUCCUAGCUUUAAAAACAUUGCCCAGGAAACAAAAUGACUUCUAUAGCAAUAAAUUAGUUUAAUAGAUUGUA